RNAcentral lists this ribosomal RNA (1263 nucleotides) under Anthobothrium sp. MS05-34-21. RNAcentral's name for it is "eukaryotic LSU rRNA". It matches the Rfam family "Eukaryotic large subunit ribosomal RNA", at positions 65 to 797 of the family's 3401-position model. RNAcentral also lists the same sequence under 1 other name. The record is from RNAcentral. Lineage: Eukaryota; Metazoa; Platyhelminthes; Cestoda; Tetraphyllidea.
CUAACCAGGAUUCCCCUAGUAACGGCGAGUGAAGAGGGAAAAGCCCAGCACCGAAGCCUGCGGCAGUUUUGCUGUUAGGCAAUGUGGUGUUUAGGCCGGCUCGCGGGAUUGCCACUCCACUCGAAGUCCAGCAUUGAGUAUGGUCACUGGAAUUGGCCCAGAGAGGGUGAAAGGCCCGUACGGGUGGAGUUUCAGACAAGUCAGGCAAUUCACCAGGUCGACCUUCGAGUCGGGUUGUUUGAGAAUGCAGCCCAAAGUGGGUGGUAAACUCCAUCCAAGGCUAAAUACUAGCACGAGUCCGAUAGCGAACAAGUACCGUGAGGGAAAGUUGAAAAGUACUUUGAAGAGAGAGUAAACAGUACGUGAAGCCGCAUGCAGGUAAACGGGUGGCGCCAAGCUGCGGGCUUGGAGAAUUCAGUUGGCUAGGUUGCAUGAUGCGCCUGACGCGUCUAUCGGUCGGAAUAAGCAGUGAUAGUCCACUGGUAAACGGUGGGCCCGGUCGCAAGACUGGGAUAUGUGUACCGAGCGGAAGCCGGAGCAUGCUAUCUAUCUGUUGGACCGCCUAGUCAGUGCACUUUCUCUAUGGCCAACACCACGACCGGUAGUAUUGCCAGUCUGCUGUAGCCAAGUCGUAUCUGAUGGGUCCUUGUGGCUAAUUGGGUGCGAUCACAGGCAAAUCCAGUGAACGGCGUAGAGCGGCUCUUCGGGGAAGCUUUGCGUGUUAUCGGUAACUGGUUGUGAUCGGGUCUGCUUGAUGGCGCGGUAACCGUUGUCAGGUGGCCUGGUGGGCUAUGGUGGUAAGAAUAACUGUGCAAGGUACCGGGGUUAGCGACCUCAAUUGCUAUCUGCACGCACGUUGCCUAGUGUAAUGUGGGGAUGGCGUAACCGUGGUCUGCCUGUUGUUGAGUCUGAUUGUCGUGUCGCCUGCAAAAAGUAGGCCCGGCAGUGGCUUGAUGCGGGAUGGGCUGUGGGCGUUGUCUCUGGUGUGGACUGUAGUGGGUCUGAUAGUCAGUGGUGCGGCGGUAGGCUAGCUUCCCGACCCGUCUUGAAACACGGACCAAGGAGUUUAACAUGUAUGCGAGUCAAAGGGUCCUACGAAACCCCAAGGCGCAGUGAAAGUGAAGCUUCGACUUGUCUCGGAGUGUGGUGAGAUCCUGCUGUUACUCGCAUCAGCCUUGGUGUCAGCAUCAGGCUUAAGAGCGGUAGGCGCAUCACCGGCCCGUCUCAUGAUGUGGUCAUUGGAUGUAUGCAGUUGCUGCGCAA